CCUACGGGGGGCAGCAGUGAGGAAUAUUGGUCAAUGGACGCAAGUCUGAACCAGCCAUGCCGCGUGCAGGAAGACGGCUCUAUGAGUUGUAAACUGCUUUUGUACGAGGGUAAACGCAGAUACGCGUAUCUGUCUGAAAGUAUCGUACGAAUAAGGAUCGGCUAACUCCGUGCCAGCAGCCGCGGUAAUACGGAGGAUUCAAGCGUUAUCCGGAUUUAUUGGGUUUAAAGGGUGCGUAGGCGGUCGGUUAAGUUAGAGGUGAAAGCCCGAGGCUCAACUUCGGAAUUGCCGCUGAUACUGGUCGGCUAGAGAGUAGUUGAGGUAGGCGGAAUGUAUGGUGUAGCGGUGAAAUGCUUAGAGAUCAUACAGAACACCGAUUGCGAAGGCAGCUUACCAAGCUACUUCUGACGCUGAGGCACGAAAGCGUGGGGAGCAAACAGGAUUAGAUACCCGGGUAGUC
RNAcentral lists this ribosomal RNA (460 nucleotides) under uncultured bacterium. Its description in RNAcentral is "partial 16S ribosomal RNA". It matches the Rfam family "Bacterial small subunit ribosomal RNA", at positions 338 to 795 of the family's 1533-position model. The record is from RNAcentral.